Molecule: ribosomal RNA, 1555 nt
Filed under: uncultured bacterium
Lineage: Bacteria
Description: bacterial SSU rRNA
Rfam family: Bacterial small subunit ribosomal RNA
Source: RNAcentral
AGAGUUUGAUCCUGGCUCAGAACAAACGCUGGUGGCGUGCUUUAUACAUGCAAGUCGAGCGGAAGUUAGUUGGAAAAGAAGAUAGCAGAAGGUAGUUCUCUACUAACUGUUUAUUCUUUUUUACUAUCUUUAGCGGCGAACGGAUGAGUAACGCGUGGAUAAUCUACCCUUGAGAUGGGAAUAACAUUCUGAAAGGAAUGUUAAUACCAAAUAACGUUGUGGAACAUAAGUUUUACAACCAAAGAUUGGCUUUAUGCCUUUUGCUCAAGGAUGAGUCCGCGUUCUAUUAGCUAGUUGGUAAGGUAAAAGCCUACCAAGGCAAUGAUAGAUAACCGGCCUGAGAGGGUGUACGGUCAUACUGGGACUGAGAUACGGCCCAGACUCCUACGGGAGGCAGCAGUAGGGAAUCUUCCGCAAUGGGCGAAAGCCUGACGGAGCGACGUCACGUGGAUGAUGAAGGCCUUUGGUCGUAAAGUCCCGUCAGGAGGGACGAUGGUCAAUGCACUAUGAUUGAUUGACGGUACCUCCAGAGGAAGCUCCGGCCAACUACGUGCCAGCAGCCGCGGUAAUACGUAGGGAGCGAGCGUUGUUCGGAUUUACUGGGCGUAAAGGGUGUGUAGGCGGUUAUAUAAGUCAAAAGUGAAAUCNCUACUCUUAAGGUAGGAACUGCUUUUGAUACUAUAUAACUAGAGAACAAAGGGGGGAAUGAACUCUGGGAGUAGCGGUGGAAUGCGUAGAUAUCCAGAGGAACGCCGGUAGCGAAAGCGGUUCCCUAAUUUGCUUCUGACGCUGAAACACGAAAGCUAGGGGAGCGAUCGGGAUUAGAGACCCCGGUAGUCCUAGCCGUAAACGAUGAGUACUAAGUGUAGGGGGGGCAUUACCCUCUGUGCUAAAGCUAACGCGUUAAGUACUCCGCCUGGGGAGUACAACCGCAAGGUUAAAACUCAAAGGAAUUGACGGGGGGCUGAACAAGCAGUGGAGCACGUGGUUCAAUUCGACGCAAAGCGAAAAACCUUACCAGGGCUUGACAUGCUAGUAGUAGCAAUCUGAAAAGUGAGCAAUCUGAAGCAUCUGUUUCAGAAGCUAGUACAGGUGGUGCAUGGCUGUCGUCAGCUCGUGCCGUGAGGUGUCGGGUUAAGUCCUUUAACGAGCGCAACCCCUGUCCUUAGUUGCCAUCGGGUAGAGCCGGGCACUCUAAGGAGACUGCCGUCUUAAAACGGAGGAAGGGAGGGACGACGUCAAGUCAUCACGCCCCUUAUGUCCUGGGCUACACACGUCCUACAAUGGCUAGCACAAAGAGAAGCAAAGGAGCAAUCCUAAGCAAAUCUCCAAAGCUAGCCUCAGUUCGGAUUGUAGGCUGCAAUUCGCCUACAUGAAGGAGGAAUUGCUAGUAAUCGUGGAUCAGCAGGCCACGGUGAAUACGUUCUCAGCCCUUGUACACACCGCCCGUCACACCACCCGAGUUAAGUGUACCCAAAGAUAUCUGACCAACCUGCAAAGGAGGAAAGAUGUUGAAGGUAUGUUUAGUAAGGGGGAUGAAGUCGUAACAAAGGUA